CUGCUUUUGGUUGAUUAUUAUUACUCGACAUUACUUUUGAAGAUUUUAAUUAAGGAUUUUGCUGUUAAUCUGUGUAACUGGAUAAUAUGUGAGAUUUAAAAUUUUGAUUAGUAAUUAGAUUUGAGUGCUGACCCAUCUCGAAUGUAUGCUCUGUAUUUAGUUUUAUAUGAUGCUCUUUUGACAUUUCUGAUUUUAUGGAAUAAAUUGUGUGGGGAAAUAUUAUUUAUCUGAUCAACACUUGGGGGGCGAAUUUACGAGUUAUGUGUUAUUUUGAAGGUCUUGGUCUCAUGAAGAAAGUUUUUACUGUAUUUAGAGAAUAGAAGACAGGUACUAAUUGCAUGAAAAAUGUUUUAUUGUAUUUAGAGAAUAAAAGCUUCCACGUAUCAUAUAUUUACCAUUUCGUUUGUUUUAAUCCUGCAGUAAAGAAAGCAAACAAUUAAGUAUGAAAUUUACUAUUGUAAGUGAAGUUUAUGAAGCUAGGAAAAUUGGAG
This 491-nucleotide long non-coding RNA is filed under the name Olea europaea (common olive). Its description in RNAcentral is "long non-coding RNA (OEUR_LNC009641)". The record is from RNAcentral. Lineage: Eukaryota; Viridiplantae; Streptophyta; Magnoliopsida; Lamiales; Oleaceae.